Molecule: ribosomal RNA, 254 nt
Filed under: uncultured bacterium
Lineage: Bacteria
Description: partial 16S ribosomal RNA
Rfam family: Bacterial small subunit ribosomal RNA
Source: RNAcentral
UACGUAGGGUGCAAGCGUUAAUCGGAAUUACUGGGCGUAAAGCGUGCGCAGGCGGUUGUGCAAGACCGAUGUGAAAUCCCCGGGCUUAACCUGGGAAUGGCAUUGGUGACUGCACGGCUAGAGUGUGUCAGAGGGGGGUAGAAUUCCACGUGUAGCAGUGAAAUGCGUAGAUAUGCGGAGGAACACCGAUGGCGAAGGCAAUCCCCUGGACCUGUACUGACGCUCAUGCACGAAAGCGUGGGGAGCAAACGAGG